CAGAAAAGAGUUUUAAAUAUUUACUUUGGGUGUAAAAGAGUAGGGCGCAAAUCCUAUUUUCUGA
RNAcentral lists this transfer RNA (64 nucleotides) under Myrianida brachycephala. RNAcentral's name for it is "tRNA-Pro". The record is from RNAcentral. Lineage: Eukaryota; Metazoa; Annelida; Polychaeta; Phyllodocida; Syllidae.